Molecule: ribosomal RNA, 251 nt
Filed under: uncultured bacterium
Lineage: Bacteria
Description: partial 16S ribosomal RNA
Rfam family: Bacterial small subunit ribosomal RNA
Source: RNAcentral
GGCGAAGCGCGAGGCAGAGCAAAUCCCCAAAAGCCGUCUCAGUUCGGACUGCAGUCUGCAACUCGACUGCACGAAGUCGGAAUUGCUAGUAAUCGCGGAUCAGCAUGCCGCGGUGAAUACGUUCCCGGGUCUUGUACACACCGCCCGUCACACCAUGAGAGCCGGAAACACCCGAAGUCCGUAGCCUAACCGCAAGGGGGGCGCGGCCGAAGGUGGGUUUGGUAAUUGGGGUGAAGUCGUAACAAGGUAUC